This 384-nucleotide ribosomal RNA is filed under the name uncultured bacterium. Its description in RNAcentral is "bacterial SSU rRNA". It matches the Rfam family "Bacterial small subunit ribosomal RNA", at positions 30 to 412 of the family's 1533-position model. The record is from RNAcentral.
AUUGAACGCUGGCGGCAUGCCUUACACAUGCAAGUCGAACGGCAGCACGGGAGCAAUCCUGGUGGCGAGUGGCGAACGGGUGAGUAAUAUAUCGGAACGUGCCCAGUCGUGGGGGAUAACGUAGCGAAAGCUACGCUAAUACCGCAUACGAUCUAUGGAUGAAAGCGGGGGAUCGCAAGACCUCGCGCGAUUGGAGCGGCCGAUAUCAGAUUAGGUAGUUGGUGAGGUAAAGGCUCACCAAGCCGACGAUCUGUAGCUGGUCUGAGAGGACGACCAGCCACACUGGGACUGAGACACGGCCCAGACUCCUACGGGAGGCAGCAGUGGGGGAAUUUUUGGACAAUGGGCGCAAGCCUGAUCCAGCAAUGCCGCGUGCAGGAUGAA